GUUGUCGUGGCCGAGUGGUUAAGGCGAUGGACUAGAAAUCUAAUGGGGUUAACCCGCGCAGGUUCAGAUCCUGCCGAUAACG
This 82-nucleotide transfer RNA is filed under the name Danionella translucida. It matches the Rfam family "tRNA". Rfam says of the family: Transfer RNA (tRNA) molecules are approximately 80 nucleotides in length. Their secondary structure includes four short double-helical elements and three loops (D, anti-codon, and T loops). Further hydrogen bonds mediate the characteristic L-shaped molecular structure. tRNAs have two regions of fundamental functional importance: the anti-codon, which is responsible for specific mRNA codon recognition, and the 3' end, to which the tRNAs corresponding amino acid is attached (by aminoacyl-tRNA synthetases). tRNAs cope with the degeneracy of the genetic code in two manners: having more than one tRNA (with a specific anti-codon) for a particular amino acid; and 'wobble' base-pairing, i.e. permitting non-standard base-pairing at the 3rd anti-codon position. Lineage: Eukaryota; Metazoa; Chordata; Actinopteri; Cypriniformes; Danionidae. RNAcentral also lists the same sequence under 1 other name. The record is from Rfam by way of RNAcentral.